GAUGAACGCUGGCGGCGUGCCUAAUACAUGCAAGUCGAGCGAACAGACGAGGAGCUUGCUCCUCUGACGUUAGCGGCGGACGGGUGAGUAACACGUGGAUAACCUACCUAUAAGACUGGGAUAACUUCGGGAAACCGGAGCUAAUACCGGAUAAUAUAUUGAACCGCAUGGUUCAAUAGUGAAAGACAGUUUUGCUGUCACUUAUAGAUGGAUCCGCGCCGCAUUAGCUAGUUGGUAAGGUAACGGCUUACCAAGGCAACGAUGCGUAGCCGACCUGAGAGGGUGAUCGGCCACACUGGGACUGAGACACGGUCCAGACUCCUACGGGAGGCAGCAGUAGGGAAUCUUCCGCAAUGGGCGAAAGCCUGACGGAGCAACGCCGCGUGAGUGAUGAAGGUCUUCGGAUCGUAAAACUCUGUUAUUAGGGAAGAACAAAUGUGUAAGUAACUAUGCACGUCUUGACGGUACCUAAUCAGAAAGCCACGGCUAACUACGUG
Molecule: ribosomal RNA, 497 nt
Filed under: uncultured bacterium
Lineage: Bacteria
Description: partial 16S ribosomal RNA
Rfam family: Bacterial small subunit ribosomal RNA
Source: RNAcentral